GAGCGAACAGAUAAGGAGCUUGCUCCUUUGACGUUAGCGGCGGACGGGUGAGUAACACGUGGAUAACCUACCUAUAAGACUGGGAUAACUUCGGGAAACCGGAGCUAAUACCGGAUAACAUAUUGAACCGCAUGGUUCAAUAGUGAAAGGCGGCUUUGCUGUCACUUAUAGAUGGAUCCGCGCCGUAUUAGCUAGUUGGUAAGGUAACGGCUUACCAAGGCAACGAUACGUAGCCGACCUGAGAGGGUGAUCGGCCACACUGGAACUGAGACACGGUCCAGACUCCUACGGGAGGCAGCAGUAGGGAAUCUUCCGCAAUGGGCGAAAGCCUGACGGAGCAACGCCGCGUGAGUGAUGAAGGUCUUCGGAUCGUAAAACUCUGUUAUCAGGGAAGAACAAAUGUGUAAGUAACUGUGCACAUCUUGACGGUACCUGAUCAGAAAGCCACGGCUAACUACGUGCCAGCAGCCGCGGUAAUACGUAGGUGGCAAGCGUUAUCCGGAAUUAUUGGGCGUAAAGCGCGCGUAGGCGGUUUUUUAAGUCUGAUGUGAAAGCCCACGGCUCAACCGUGGAGGGUCAUUGGAAACUGGAAAACUUGAGUGCAGCAGAGAU
Molecule: ribosomal RNA, 612 nt
Filed under: Staphylococcus warneri
Lineage: Bacteria; Bacillati; Bacillota; Bacilli; Caryophanales; Staphylococcaceae
Description: bacterial SSU rRNA
Rfam family: Bacterial small subunit ribosomal RNA
Source: RNAcentral